RNAcentral lists this ribosomal RNA (187 nucleotides) under uncultured Sphingobacteriales bacterium. Its description in RNAcentral is "partial 16S ribosomal RNA". It matches the Rfam family "Bacterial small subunit ribosomal RNA", at positions 1197 to 1382 of the family's 1533-position model. The record is from RNAcentral. Lineage: Bacteria; Pseudomonadati; Bacteroidota; Sphingobacteriia; Sphingobacteriales.
GCCCCUUAUGUCCAGGGCUACACACGUGUUACAAUGGUCGGUACAGAGGGCAGCUACCUGGUGACAGGAUGCUAAUCUCGAAAACCGGCCUCAGUUCGGAUCGAAGUCUGCAACUCGACUUCGUGAAGCUGGAUUCGCUAGUAAUCGCGCAUCAGCCAUGGCGCGGUCGAAUACGUUCCCGGGCCUU